GAUGAAGAACGUAGCGAAAUGCGAUACGUAAUGUGAAUUGCAGAAUUCAGUGAAUCAUCGAAUCUUUGAACGCAUAUUGCGCUCUCUGGUAUUCCGGAGAGCAUGCUUGUUUGAGUAUCAGUAAACACCUCAACUUCCAUAUCUUUUUUGAAAUGGGAGUUGGACUUGAGUGAUCCCAACGCUUUUCCUCACCGAAAAGUGGCGGGUUACUUGAAAUGCAGGUGCAGCUGGACUUUUCUCUGAGCUAUAAGCAUAUCUAUUUAGUCUGCCUAAAAAACAGAUUAUUACCUUUGCUGCAGCUAACAUAAAGGAGAUUAGUUCUUGUGCUGACUGAUGCAGGAUUCACAAAGACAGGCUUCGACCGACUUUGUAAACUCGAUCUCAAAUCAAGUAAGACUACCCGCUGAACUUAAGCAUAUCAAUAAGCGGAGGA
This 433-nucleotide unclassified non-coding RNA is filed under the name soil metagenome. RNAcentral describes it as "partial contains 5.8S ribosomal RNA, internal transcribed spacer 2, and large subunit ribosomal RNA". The stretch from base 1 to 120 matches the Rfam family "5.8S ribosomal RNA", at positions 35 to 154 of the family's 154-position model. The record is from RNAcentral.